Molecule: long non-coding RNA, 3550 nt
Filed under: Homo sapiens (human)
Lineage: Eukaryota; Metazoa; Chordata; Mammalia; Primates; Hominidae
Description: HSALNT0099496
Source: RNAcentral
UUUUGCUGUGACCUCACUGGCACCAGUGUCGGACAAUCUCGAAAGGGGGGACCGUUCCUCACCCCAGGGCGCCCGGGGCGUGAUCCCCACGCGGCGUCAUUAGUCCAGGGAGCGGGCGCCUCGGCCCCGGGAAGGUGCACUUCCAGCCCGCUGCCCUGCCACGCCGAGUUUCCUCCUUUUUCCUGCCUUUGUUGCACAAAAAGCGACGGAGCCGCUAGUAGAAUCACUGCGGUAGGAGGAUUCCUGAGGCAUUACCUGGAUAGUCUCAUCUGGCUGGACAUGCAGGAGAACUGGGAGACUGCCGAGACUGCCACGUGGGUUUUGGAGGCUGAGAAGUCCAAGACUGAGGGGCUGGCAUCUGACGAGGGCCUUCUUGCUGCUUCAUUCCACGGCAAAAUGGCAAAGAGAAGAUGAGAAGAAAGGCUCAAAGGGACGGUGGGACUUGACUGAGGACCCAGCACCUCCUGGACCUGAAUCAAGGCCCUCUGUCCCGCUGCUUUUGUUGUUGUUUACCCUGCAACUUCACAGCCCUUCAGAAGGCCCUGGACAUCAUGUGCAAGCUCCGUGGAUGGCCUGAGAUUCAUCCUUCCAAGUUGUUUUCUGACUGAGAGGCAACAUUUUAAAUUGUGAUCCCCCCUUACCCCACCACACACACUGAAACAAAAGUUUCAAGAAGUCAUUACCACACAAUGACUCAGAUAUGUUCUAGUCUAGUCUGUCUAUUCCAUUCCAUUCCAGUCUCUUUCCAAACGAAAAUAAAAGGAAGGAAAUGCUGCAUGCGACUUGGUAAGUUAAUUUCAGGACACCUUGGGACUGCUUCCUGCUGCAUGAGGCAUCAGCACACAGCAGGGGAUAUUUUGCAUUCCUGUGUGCACCGUGGGUUAGACAGGCUGCUUGGCCCUAAGUGGAGAAUGGAACUCCAGUAGAAAGGCUGAGAUGCACUGCAAGUAACCACUGCAGAAAGGAGAGGAUGCCCACAGGCAGGCUGAAGUGGACCCGUGUGGAAGGAACACUUCAAGACCACUGGCCAAGAGACUUCCUUCAUUUUUAUCCCUUCCUGUUUUUCGCCUGUGCUGAGGAUUCACCACCAGUGUGGGGAGCCUCUGACUGUAAAAGGAAAGCUGACUCUGGCUCCUUCGUGUUUUCUGUUAAGUUGGGGCCUAAGUUUUUCUGCCAGCCUUUGCGGAGGAAAUGCAGCUUCCCUGGCACACUGCCCGGUCAAGGGACGUUGAAUCCAUUGCAAUCAGCAGUUGAAGAUCCACACUACAGGCCAUGUUCUUAAAAUAAGUGGCUCCAGGACUUCCAAGAGGCAGAAGGGGCUUCAGCUGGCCAUGGGCAGGAUCCAAGUGGAGCUUCAUCCCUGCAGAGCAAUGCCUGGCUCUCAGCGGAGGCAGUCUGGAGCAGGGCUUCUACCCUUUUCAGCUCAUAGAUUACUUUGGAAUCUGAUGAACACUGGGAGCCUUCUCCUUAGAAGAACAUACAUAUGCACGAGAAUGAGACAAUUACAUAACAUUCCUUGGGUUUCACAGAUGCUGAAGCCAAUGACUUGCUUGAAGCCUGGAAGAGGGUGUUGACCUGGAGAAUCCUAAAGGCCAAAAUUUAGAGAAAAUGGUGCCAGUAAAUGAAUUCACAAGGAGAAAUGCUUCCUUGCCAACUCACUUCUCCAGAUUAUUGAGUGCAUCUAUCUGUUUGCUUUUGGCUUCACGCAAUUGGCCCUCUUCAGUUCCGUACUCUUUCCUAAAUACCUUGCAAGUUUUCCUCUUCUCUCAUGCCAUUUAUAAUAUGCUGACGCCUGAUUAGAGGAAGGAAGGACUCAGCUGCACUUGCACUGGGGGAAGGGCCACUUACAGGAAGCCUACCUGGGGCUGAGCUGGGUCUCACUGCCUCCUAGACCUAAGGGCCCCAGCUUUUCCCUCAUCUCUUGUUGCAGCCACCACUUGUUCUAGAUCUGCAUCCAUAUCUGUAAAAUGGGGGUGAUAAUACCUUCCCAUAAAGUCACUGUGAGGAUUAAAUGUCCGGCACAAUAUUUGAUGCAUAGUGGUGCUGAAUAAUAUUUAUUGUCAUUACUAUCAUUAUUAUUGGCUGCUACCUUCAUUUUGAAAUUCUAUCCAUGAGCUACAUUAAUUAACCUGCAUUCAGUGUCAGGAUGUAUUUCUUAAUUUAGAUUUUUAAAUUUUUAGAGCAUGUGGCUAACCAUGAAUGUUGCAUUUUCUCAGUACCUAUUUAUUCAUAUGAAACUAUAGGUCUGGGCUCAGAGUUCAUCAAUAUUUAUAGAGAAGGCUCUACCUGUUGAGCACUGUGCUAGGCAUCCCCAGAGAUGCUGGCCUACUUCAUGCCUUAGGCAGCCCCACACGUGAGCAUUACUAACCCAUUGCUGCUAUGAGAGCAUUCAGAAAGAAAGCAGUUUAAGUUGCUUGACUAAACUGGUAGAGUUGAAAUUAAACUCUGUCUCUUCAUGUUACUGGACUGCUUGGAUAUCUACUUUCAGAAAGACUACAGCUUGAUAUAAACAUUGUAGUUUUGCUCAUGGAAAACUUACAGUAAAUCUGGGCUGUUUCAACACAACUGUCAAACUGUUCACCUACAGCUGUAUUUUCUCUUGCAAUGGGUGAAUAAGGUACAAUGAUGGUUGUACAGACCAUUACUAUUAUUACCUGUUAAUUUACAUUUAAACAGAUUUAUAAUUUCUGGCCCUGAUUUCCAGUCCAGUAUACAGCAAAAAUCCAUAUUUUAAACUAAAAAUAAUGUGCUUUUCAUAAAAUCAUAAAGAAACCCACCUGGCUAUUGUCUGGGGACUUGCGAGAAGGAUCCUUUGUAGUUUUCUUCCAUGUCUUCUAAGGAAUAGUUUGGAACACAUAGUAAAUAGUCAAUUAAUACCAAAGGGCAUUUGCAAAACUAUCAACUCCCAGUUUAUAUAAAGGACCAGCCACCAGAAUUAUACAUGAAUUAAAAAGUUAGCACACCAUAGUCAGAGAAGGACAACUUGGGAAUAGUUGUGUAACAGCCGUGAGGGUAAGCGAAGGGUCUGUCUACCUGUGCCUUCCCAGAAUACUGCCUCUCUUCUGGUCUGCUUUGGGAACAGUCAACAGGAAAGAAAAAGUAGACAGAUAGAGUCAGUGCGCUGAAUAAAAGAAGAUUCUAGAUCACUACAAGAGGCUUGUCAUUUGAGGCAAAGUGUCUGAGAGAGGAAGGUUUUUAUGGCCUCAAUGGGGAGACUGGUCACUGAUAAAGCGUUCUGGAUCUUUUGUGGGCCGGAAGAUAAGUUGAGUUUUGGUUAAUGUUUAAUGAUGCAGAACAAAAGUCAUAAAUAGUCCAUGAGAAAUAAGAGCACAAAUGAUUGGGAUUGGACAGUUUGCUUAUUCAGCUGCAAAAUGUGCUGUGUUCUAUUCUUGUCAUCCCCCCAUGGUAUAACAAAAUGCAGUGUGACAAGGAAUAUAAAUGUCCCCUAAUGCAUGGGCAGCUUUUUCUGUUCUAAGAGAGUCAGCAUGAGUCACUCAGCAGGUGAAAAAUGUUUAAUUUAGAGAAAAUAGGAUAAAUAGCAAUAGCUUCC